AGUGGCGCACGGGUGAGUAACACGUGGAUCAUCUACCUUUUAGUGGGGGAUGACCCUGGGAAACCGGGGCUAAUACCGCAUAAUCUCGCGAGAGGAAAGCAGCAAUGCGCUGAAAGAGGAGUCCGCGGCUGAUUAGCUAGAUGGUGAGGUAACGGCUCACCAUGGCGAAGAUCGGUAGCCGGCCUGAGAGGGCACACGGCCACACUGGCACUGAAACACGGGCCAGACUCCUACGGGAGGCAGCAGUGGGGAAUCUUGCACAAUGGAGGAAACUCUGAUGCAGCGACGCCGCGUGAGCGAUGAAGCCCUUCGGGGUGUAAAGCUCUUUCGACGGGAACGAUAAUGACGGUACCCGAAGAAGAAGCUGCGGCUAACUACGUGCCAGCAGCCGCGGUAAUACGUAGGCAGCAAGCGUUGUUCGGAAUUACUGGGCGUAAAGAGUACGUAGGCGGUGCUCUAAGUUUGGUGUGAAAUCUCCCGGCUCAACUGGGAGGGUGCGCCGAAAACUGGAGUGCUCGAGUGCGGGAGAGGCAAGCGGAAUUCCUGGUGUAGCGGUGAAAUGCGUAGAUAUCAGGAGGAACACCUGUGGUGUAGACAGCUUGCUGGACCGUGACUGACGCUGAGGUACGAAAGCGUGGGUAGCAAACAGGAUUAGAUACCCUGGUAGUCCACGCCCUAAACGAUGCAUACUUGGUGUGAGCGAUUCAUUUCGUUCGUGCCGGAGCUAACGCGUUAAGUAUGCCGCCUGGGGAGUACGGUCGCAAGGCUGAAACUCAAAGGAAUUGACGGGGGCCCGCACAAGCGGUGGAGCAUGUGGUUCAUUUCGA
This 827-nucleotide ribosomal RNA is filed under the name uncultured bacterium. Its description in RNAcentral is "bacterial SSU rRNA". It matches the Rfam family "Bacterial small subunit ribosomal RNA", at positions 94 to 954 of the family's 1533-position model. The record is from RNAcentral.